CAAUAGCGUAUAUUAAAGUUGUUGCGGUUAAAAAGCUCGUAGUUGGAUUUCUGCUGAGGACGACCGGUCCGCCCUCCGGGUGAGCAUCUGGUUCGGCCUUGGCAUCUUCUUGGUGAACGUAUCUGCACUUGACUGUGUGGUGCGGUACCCAGGACUUUUACUUUGAAAAAAUUAGAGUGUUCAAAGCAGGCUUUUGCUGUGAAUACAUUAGCAUGGAAUAAUAAUCUAGGACUUCGGUUUUAUUUUGUUGGUUUCUAACACUGAAGUAAUGAUUGAUAGGGAUAGUUGGGGGGUGCUAGUAUUGGCCGGCCAGAGGUGAAAUUCUUGGAUUCGGUCAAGACUAACUUAUGCGAAAGCAUUCACCAAGGAUGUCUUCUUUAAUCAAGAACGAAAGUUGGGGGAUCGAAGACGAUUAGAUACCG
Molecule: ribosomal RNA, 422 nt
Filed under: uncultured eukaryote
Lineage: Eukaryota
Description: bacterial SSU rRNA
Rfam family: Eukaryotic small subunit ribosomal RNA
Source: RNAcentral